This 1386-nucleotide ribosomal RNA is filed under the name uncultured bacterium. RNAcentral describes it as "bacterial SSU rRNA". It matches the Rfam family "Bacterial small subunit ribosomal RNA". The record is from RNAcentral.
AGAGUUUGAUCCUGGCUCAGGACGAACGCUGGCGGCGUGCUUAACACAUGCAAGUCGAACGAUGAAGCCUAGCUUGCUAGGUGGAUUAGUGGCGAACGGGUGAGUAAUACGUGAGUAACCUACCUUUAACUCUGGGAUAAGCCUGGGAAACUGGGUCUAAUACCGGAUACGACCAAUCUCCGCAUGGGGUGUUGGUGGAAAGCGUUAUGUAGUGGUUAUAGAUGGGCUCACGGCCUAUCAGCUUGUUGGUGAGGUAACGGCUCACCAAGGCGACGACGGGUAGCCGGCCUGAGAGGGUGACCGGCCACACUGGGACUGAGACACGGCCCAGACUCCUACGGGAGGCAGCAGUGGGGAAUAUUGCACAAUGGGCGCAAGCCUGAUGCAGCGACGCCGCGUGAGGGAUGACGGCCUUCGGGUUGUAAACCUCUGUUAGCAGGGAAGAAGAGAGAUUGACGGUACCUGCAGAGAAAGCGCCGGCUAACUACGUGCCAGCAGCCGCGGUAAUACGUAGGGCGCGAGCGUUGUCCGGAAUUAUUGGGCGUAAAGAGCUUGUAGGCGGUUUGUCGCGUCUGCUGUGAAAGGCCGGGGCUUAACCCCGUGUAUUGCAGUGGGUACGGGCAGACUAGAGUGCAGUAGGGGAGACUGGAACUCCUGGUGUAGCGGUGGAAUGCGCAGAUAUCAGGAAGAACACCGAUGGCGAAGGCAGGUCUCUGGGCUGUAACUGACGCUGAGAAGCGAAAGCAUGGGGAGCGAACAGGAUUAGAUACCCUGGUAGUCCAUGCCGUAAACGUUGGGCACUAGGUGUGGGGGACAUUCCACGUUUUCCGCGCCGUAGCUAACGCAUUAAGUGCCCCGCCUGGGGAGUACGGCCGCAAGGCUAAAACUCAAAGAAAUUGACGGGGGCCCGCACAAGCGGCGGAGCAUGCGGAUUAAUUCGAUGCAACGCGAAGAACCUUACCAAGGCUUGAAUAUACUGGACCGCUCCAAAAAAUGUGGUUCCCUUCCGGGGUGGGUUACAAGGGGGGGCCAGGGUGUCCUCCACCUCUGGCCUUAGAAAAUUUGGGGUUAAUUCCCCCACCAAAACCCAACCUCUCUUCUAAUGUUCCCCCACCUUUUUGUGGGGGACUCAAAAGAACAUGCCGGGGCACUCCCGAAAAGAGGGGGGGAGAAGCCAAAUUAAUACGCCCCUUAUUUUUGGGGUUCCCCGUGCUCAUAGGCCGGUACAGAGGGUUGCGAUACUGUGAGGUGGAGCUAAUCCCUAAAAGCCGGUCUCAGUUCGGAUUGGGGUCUGCAACUCGACCCCAUGAAGUCGGAGUCGCUAGUAAUCGCAGAUCAGCAACGCUGCGGUGAAUACGUUCCCGGGCCUUGCACACACCGCCCGUC